UACGGGAGGCAGCAGUGGGGAAUAUUGCACAAUGGGCGCAAGCCUGAUGCAGCCAUGCCGCGUGUAUGAAGAAGGCCUUCGGGUUGUAAAGUACUUUCAGUCGUGAGGAAGGUGUUAAGGUUAAUAACCUUAGCAAUUGACGUUAGCGACAGAAGAAGCACCGGCUAACUCCGUGCCAGCAGCCGCGGUAAUACGGAGGGUGCGAGCGUUAAUCGGAAUUACUGGGCGUAAAGGGCACGCAGGCGGUUAAUUAAGUUGGAUGUGAAUCCCCGGGCUUAACCUGGGAAUGGCAUUCAAGACUGGUUAGCUAGAGUCUUGUAGAGGGGGUUAGAAUUCCAUGUGUAGCGGUGAAAUGCGUAGAGAUGUGGAGGAAUACCGGGUGGCGAAGGCGGCCCCUGGGACAAAGACUGACGCUCAUGUGCGAAAGCGUGGGGAGCGAAACAGGGAUUAGAUACC
Molecule: ribosomal RNA, 456 nt
Filed under: uncultured bacterium
Lineage: Bacteria
Description: bacterial SSU rRNA
Rfam family: Bacterial small subunit ribosomal RNA
Source: RNAcentral